This 553-nucleotide unclassified non-coding RNA is filed under the name Zea mays. Its description in RNAcentral is "misc RNA Zm00001eb173460". Lineage: Eukaryota; Viridiplantae; Streptophyta; Magnoliopsida; Poales; Poaceae. The record is from RNAcentral.
CAUCGACUGCCUCGUCGACGCCGCCGACCAGGUGGCUGUAGUCACUGGAGGACGACCGACGCUGGUGAAGGGGAGAGAGCAGGGGAGCAACUCAAGCAUUUGCUGUUUGACAGACUCGAGGUAGGAGCUAGCCACGGAAAGGGAAGAAGCAGAGGCAGUGAUGACGGUUUUGAUUGGCCACCGCCUCUUAUUGAAGAACACAGCUGGGACUUCGCGCAGGGCUGGAGUGCUACUUCCAGUAUUGCUUGCAGGUCGAGGAGUUGAUGAGAUGCAACGGCGGAAUGCCAAGAUUCUAGGAGUUGGGAAGACCACUUCUCAACAAGAAAUAAAGAAGGCGUAUCACAAAUUGGCUCUGCGCCUCCACCCAGAUAAGAAUCCUGGGGAUGAGGCAUUGGUGGGAGAAGCAGCAAACAAUCUUCAGGAGUACUUCAGAACAAUGUACAAGAAAGUCAUGGAGGCUGACAUUGAAGAAUUUGAAGCUAAAUAUAGAGGGUCAGAUUAUGAGAAAACGGACUUGAAGGACCUCUACACAAAAUAUAAGGGCAACAUGAAC